CGUGUAGGCGGUUCGGAAAGUCGGGUGUGAAAGCCCUGGGCUCAACCCAGGAAGUGCACUCGAAACUCCCGAGCUAGAGUCCUGGAGAGGAAGGCGGAAUUCUCGGUGUAGAGGUGAAAUUCGUAGAUAUCGAGAGGAACAUCGGUGGCGAAGGCGGCCUUCUGGACAGCGACUGACGCUGAGACGCGAAAGCGUGGGAGCAAACA
RNAcentral lists this ribosomal RNA (206 nucleotides) under uncultured bacterium. RNAcentral describes it as "partial 16S ribosomal RNA". It matches the Rfam family "Bacterial small subunit ribosomal RNA", at positions 568 to 774 of the family's 1533-position model. The record is from RNAcentral.